Molecule: ribosomal RNA, 1346 nt
Filed under: uncultured bacterium
Lineage: Bacteria
Description: partial 16S ribosomal RNA
Rfam family: Bacterial small subunit ribosomal RNA
Source: RNAcentral
GACGAACGCUGUCGGCGGGCUUAACACAUGCAAGUCGAACGGAAAGGCCCUGCUUUUGUGGGGUGCUCGAGUGGCGAACGGGUGAGUAACACGUGAGUAACCUGCCCUUGACUUUGGGAUAACUUCAGGAAACUGGGGCUAAUACCGGAUAGGAGCUCCUGCUGCAUGGUGGGGGUUGGAAAGUUUCGGCGGUUGGGGAUGGACUCGCGGCUUAUCAGCUUGUUGGUGGGGUAGUGGCUUACCAAGGCUUUGACGGGUAGCCGGCCUGAGAGGGUGACCGGCCACAUUGGGACUGAGAUACGGCCCAGACUCCUACGGGAGGCAGCAGUGGGGAAUAUUGCACAAUGGGCGGAAGCCUGAUGCAGCAACGCCGCGUGCGGGAUGACGGCCUUCGGGUUGUAAACCGCUUUCGCCUGUGACGAAGCGUGAGUGACGGUAAUGGGUAAAGAAGCACCGGCUAACUACGUGCCAGCAGCCGCGGUGAUACGUAGGGUGCGAGCGUUGUCCGGAUUUAUUGGGCGUAAAGGGCUCGUAGGUGGUUGAUCGCGUCGGAAGUGUAAUCUUGGGGCUUAACCCUGAGCGUGCUUUCGAUACGGGUUGACUUGAGGAAGGUAGGGGAGAAUGGAAUUCCUGGUGGAGCGGUGGAAUGCGCAGAUAUCAGGAGGAACACCAGUGGCGAAGGCGGUUCUCUGGGCCUUUCCUGACGCUGAGGAGCGAAAGCGUGGGGAGCGAACAGGCUUAGAUACCCUGGUAGUCCACGCUGUAAACGGUGGGUACUAGGUGUGGGGUCCAUUCCACGGGUUCCGUGCCGUAGCUAACGCUUUAAGUACCCCGCCUGGGGAGUACGGCCGCAAGGCUAAAACUCAAAGGAAUUGACGGGGCCCCGCACAAGCGGCGGAGCAUGCGGAUUAAUUCGAUGCAACGCGUAGAACCUUACCUGGGUUUGACAUGGAUCGGGAGUGCUCAGAGAUGGGUGUGCCUCUUUUGGGGUCGGUUCACAGGUGGUGCAUGGCUGUCGUCAGCUCGUGUCGUGAGAUGUUGGGUUAAGUCCCGCAACGAGCGCAACCCUUGUUCACUGUUGCCAGCACGUUAUGGUGGGGACUCAGUGGAGACCGCCGGGGUCAACUCGGAGGAAGGUGGGGAUGACGUCAAGUCAUCAUGCCCCUUAUGUCCAGGGCUUCACGCAUGCUACAAUGGCUGGUACAGAGAGUGGCGAGCCUGUGAGGGUGAGCGAAUCUCGGAAAGCCGGUCUCAGUUCGGAUUGGGGUCUGCAACUCGACCUCAUGAAGUCGGAGUCGCUAGUAAUCGCAGAUCAGCAACGCUGCGGUGAAUACGUUCCCGGGGCU